RNAcentral lists this non-coding RNA (29 nucleotides) under Mus musculus (house mouse). Lineage: Eukaryota; Metazoa; Chordata; Mammalia; Rodentia; Muridae. The record is from RNAcentral.
UAGGACAUUGAGUUGGAAGAGAAGCCCAC